Molecule: ribosomal RNA, 432 nt
Filed under: uncultured bacterium
Lineage: Bacteria
Description: partial 16S ribosomal RNA
Rfam family: Bacterial small subunit ribosomal RNA
Source: RNAcentral
AGCGAACGCUGGCGGCAGGCUUAACACAUGCAAGUCGAGCGGGCACUUCGGUGUCAGCGGCAGACGGGUGAGUAACACGUGGGAACGUACCCUUCGGUUCGGAAUAACGCUGGGAAACUAGCGCUAAUACCGGAUACGCCCUUUUGGGGAAAGGUUUACUGCCGAAGGAUUGGCCCGCGUCUGAUUAGCUAGUUGGUGGGGUAAUGGCCUACCAAGGCGACGAUCAGUAGCUGGUCUGAGAGGAUGAUCAGCCACACUGGGACUGAGACACGGCCCAGACUCCUACGGGAGGCAGCAGUGGGGAAUAUUGGACAAUGGGCGCAAGCCUGAUCCAGCCAUGCCGCGUGAGUGAUGAAGGCCUUAGGGUUGUAAAGCUCUUUUGUCCGGGACGAUAAUGACGGUACCGGAAGAAUAAGCCCCGGCUAACUUCGU